Molecule: long non-coding RNA, 2105 nt
Organism: Pleuronectes platessa (European plaice)
Lineage: Eukaryota; Metazoa; Chordata; Actinopteri; Pleuronectiformes; Pleuronectidae
Exons: 3
Source: RefSeq, a predicted model, not a curated record
AGCAUGAAUGUUUCGUGACCGUCACUUUAGCCCCGUCAGUGUUCCUGUUUUUCACACCAAGUUUAUGGUGUAAAAUAGGUCUACUUCAAGUAGGAAGAGAAAAUGUAACUUCUCAGAAUGAGGAACAAAUGGACCUGUGUGUUAUACAAGCACAGGACAACAGGCAGAGUACAUCCUGAACAGUACUUCUUGUGUCAAUGCUGCUCUUCCUGGAGUCUCCAUGGUCACUGAUGGCGGGAAAGCCAACCCUUUGCUCGAUCCACUGGGCGACACUGAGCAGCUUCAUGUCUUGGACGGCGGGGCCGAUGAGCUGCAAACCAAUGGGAAGCCCUCGUCUUGACAAUGCGGUUGGCAGUGACACGGCGGGAAGACCUGGGGUAAAGAAAAGGGACGGAAGAAGAAAGGUUGUUCAUGGGAAGACAAUGAUUAAGAUGUUAAGGUUCGUUAGGGUUUAGGAUUGGACAGGACAAGGUUUAAUUGAAUGCAAACACACUGGAUUACACUUUAAUCUGAGCUGAAAUUAGGGAAGGGUUGAGGUUGAAUGUUGUGAUUGGUGCCUUCAGAGAACUGCGUUUGCUCACAAUUAUUAAUUUCCUCUUAAAUUUCCCUUGGAAAUGUAUGAAAUAAUGUGCCUUUGAUCAGCAAAGAAGCAGUAAUUAUACUUAAGUCCUAUUAGUUGACAUGUUUUUCAGUUACUGUGUGCAGAAUUAGAAGUUAAUGAAUGAAUCCUCCCAUACUCCCUAUAAAUGCACGAACAAUGCUGCACGUUCUGCCUAAAGCUGUGGUUCUGUCUCAGUACCUGCCAUGUUGGCCGGUUGGGUGAAGACAUCUUCCUGUGUACUGCGUGUUCGGUUGUCUUCCUGCAUGAAGUCCGAGUACCGGGCUGCAUCGGUCAGAGUGGUGGGUGUCAGCAGCACGUCAACACCAGAGCUGAACACACGCUUGAAAUCAUCCGCUAUCAGCCGCCGGACUUUCUGGGCCUUAACAAAGUAGUGCUGGUAGCUCCUGGCAAAAUUAUACAUAAAAAUCAGUUCAUCCUGGACGUUUUUGAAAUAUUACAGCAUCACCACACAAUUUUUAUCGCCCCUAAAUUUAGAAAUACAACUUAAAUAACCAAUAAUGCUCCACUCUAGUUGUGGAGUCUCAUGAUGACUAAACAGUCUUGCACUUUUGCCUUUCCAAUAUCUGUUUCGCAAAGAAUCAAAUGUUUUAUGGUCUGUAUUCAUCUGGAAGCUGUUGGCCUGGUUUCAGACUUAAAACUGAUUUUCUGAAAUGUUAAUGGAGAAAAAGAACGUUUCAGAACGAGAGCUGUUUAAAAGAGGGUGAUCUCUAUUAAGCCCUGUACAGUCAGAGGGAAGUGAAGAACGAUGGUGUGAGAGGGGUCAGUGUGUUUUACUCACUGUUGAAGCAGGAAGUAGUUCCCAGAAAGAAUCCUCCCUCUCACCACGUCGUUGAAGCCCUCGUGUCGGGUUGAAGCGUACAUGGCCUCUGUUGAGCUGUUCACCUCACUACGGUGGCCUGACAGAGGAAGGACAGAAAUCCAUAACAUUAGCUUCAUCGCCAUCAUGUGUCUUGUUGCCAACACAUAGGAUUUGGUGUAACCUAACUUGUUAUGUUUGAUACACCGCAAAUUGCUUCUCACCACAAAUCUACCAUAUUGGAAGACAGUUUCAUACCAUAUUCAAGGCCAUCAAAACGGGCCAUGUUAGAUGCCACUUCUGCGUGGCACAGGACGUGGUAGCACACAAUGGAGUACUGGGUGUGGGGGAGCGAUACUUGCUCCACCUUCGCCCCUGCUCUCUCAAACAUGUCAGCAACUCGACUCCACUGAGCCAGAGUCUCCUCAGACAGCCCCGGGGCAUGGUACUCCUGACAAGACCAGAAAGACAAGGAGCUUUAUACAACUGAGUUCAUAACGGCAAUUUAAAAAUGUUUCAAUCUUCUUAAUUGUACACACCAUUCUAUAUUAUACUGUACAAGGAAUAUAUCUUUGUGCCACACAUCUUUAAAACCUGGAAAUAGAAUUCAUUAAAAUGGAUUUCAUACUAUCAACAGCUCUUUUUCAGUAAAAUAAAAUUCUUCCAGUUUUUUUGUUUUUGUUUUUC